RNAcentral lists this long non-coding RNA (962 nucleotides) under Cottoperca gobio. RNAcentral's name for it is "lncRNA (ENSCGOG00000016702.1)". The record is from RNAcentral. Lineage: Eukaryota; Metazoa; Chordata; Actinopteri; Perciformes; Bovichtidae.
GAUGGUUCGUCUCGACUCACAGUUGGUACCAAGUCGGUGUCUUAAUUGCAUUUUCCACUGCAGACAGUAAGAGGCGGACAUCAUCUUCAACGGGACACUCGCUGAAUCCUUUCUUCGGCAACCAAACAGGAACACUUCGUAAAUUGUACAGAUUACUUUUGCGGGCUGUCACUAUUGACAGUUGCUUGGCUAUCUAAAAAUGGUGGGUUUGUGCAGGAUGUCCCAUCACGAUUCUCUCUGACCAAUCAGUGGCCCGCAGUGUUUUAACUGCACCUUCUAGUAUCGGCUCAGCUCGCUUGGAACCUCAACCGAGGUGAUGGCACAUACAGUAGUUCAAUAACAGUAGUUCAAUAACAGUAGGUCCAUCCACAACUUUUGACAAUGGAAAACCAAAAAAGAAAGGUUCAAUUGCCAUGCAGUGGAAAUGCAGCAUCGGUCAUUUGGUCAUCCUGUAUGGAUCCAAGCAUUAAACUGCACAGCAAAAACUGGAGAGUUGACAUUUCAGGGUUAAACAUUUCUGAGUUGAUUUCAACUCACGUAGUGUUACUUUAACAUUUUCGGAUUCAAAUGGUGUUUAUUGUUGGAGUUAUUUAAGUGUUAAUCAUGUCAGAGUUAGACCAACUCUGCAGAGACGUGAUUAUGCUCCGCCCCUGCAUGUCACUGCUUCGGUUGGAGACGAGUCCACGACAAGUCAGCUCAAUUUUCUCUCCUCAUGCAGUUGACAGGUAAAAAUGUUGGUCCAGGUGAAGUACAGACAACAGCACAAGUAUGUGAAAUUGGAUGCAGUUGAAGGACAGUUUGACUUUCUACAUUUCAAUGAAAAAGUCGUUGAGAGAUUUUGCCUGCCACCUGAUGCAAAGGUUGUAUACAAGGAUGCAACGGAGACAGAAGUUAAUACAGAAAUAUUCAGAGACCUCAUUGGACGAGGCAACGUGGUGCUGAGUUUUCUCAGAGUUCUCUGA